Molecule: small RNA, 365 nt
Filed under: uncultured Enterobacter sp.
Lineage: Bacteria; Pseudomonadati; Pseudomonadota; Gammaproteobacteria; Enterobacterales; Enterobacteriaceae
Description: cspA thermoregulator
Rfam family: cspA thermoregulator
Source: RNAcentral
UGUCUAUGUGUGGCAUUUUCAGUAUAGAAGUCCUGAGUAAACACGUUGUCGUUGAAUACCGCUUCUCUGCCGAACCUUAUAUUAGUGCCUCAAGCAGUAAUGUCUCAGUUUUAACUCAGUAAAUGCCUGCGGGCGAAGAAAACUCUCUAAGGAAUUUUGCAAAUGGCAAAGAUUAAAGGUCAAGUUAAGUGGUUCAACGAGUCUAAAGGCUUUGGUUUCAUUACUCCUGCAGACGGCAGCAAAGAUGUGUUCGUACACUUCUCUGCAAUCCAGGGUAAUGGCUUCAAAACCCUGGCUGAAGGCCAGAACGUUGAGUUCGAAAUUCAGGACGGCCAGAAAGGUCCGGCUGCUGUUAACGUAACCGC